This 177-nucleotide non-coding RNA is filed under the name uncultured Selenomonas sp. Lineage: Bacteria; Bacillati; Bacillota; Negativicutes; Selenomonadales; Selenomonadaceae. The record is from RNAcentral.
UCAGGUGUCGCAAGACUCAAUAGAGAAGCCGGUACGUUUUUCAAAUCCGGCGCGGUCCCGCCACUGUAUCAGCGAGUGCUGUUGCAAUGCAUUUUUGCACGUCACUGGAGAUGGAGAAGCAUCUCUGGGAAGGCGCAGCAGCAUGAUGACCUGGAGCCAGGAGAACUGCCUGAUUGA